GACGAAGGAUGCAAGCGUUAUCCGGAUUCAUUGGGUUUAAAGGGAGCGUAGGUGGCCUUAUAAGUCAGUGGUGAAAUCUCUGGGCUUAACCCAGAAAUUGCCAUUGAUACUGUAGGGCUUGAGUAUAGUUGCCGUUGGCGGAAUAUGACAUGUAGUGGUGAAAUACAUAGAGAUGUCAUAGAACACCGAUUGCGAAGGCAGCUGGCGAAACUAUAACUGACACUGAGGCUCGAAAGUGCGGGGAUCAAACAGG
This 253-nucleotide ribosomal RNA is filed under the name uncultured bacterium. Its description in RNAcentral is "partial 16S ribosomal RNA". It matches the Rfam family "Bacterial small subunit ribosomal RNA", at positions 524 to 776 of the family's 1533-position model. The record is from RNAcentral.